This 433-nucleotide ribosomal RNA is filed under the name uncultured bacterium. Its description in RNAcentral is "partial 16S ribosomal RNA". It matches the Rfam family "Bacterial small subunit ribosomal RNA", at positions 29 to 507 of the family's 1533-position model. The record is from RNAcentral.
AGCGAACGCUGGCGGCAGGCCUAACACAUGCAAGUCGAACGAACUCUUCGGGGUUAGUGGCGGACGGGUGAGUAACACGUGGGAACGUGCCUUUAGGUUCGGAAUAACUCAGGGAAACUUGUGCUAAUACCGAAUGUGCCCUUCGGGGGAAAGAUUAAUCGCCUUUAGAGCGGCCCGCGUCUGAUUAGCUAGUUGGUGAGGUAAAGGCUCACCAAGGCGACGAUCAGUAGCUGGUCUGAGAGGAUGAUCAGCCACAUUGGGACUGAGACACGGCCCAAACUCCUACGGGAGGCAGCAGUGGGGAAUCUUGCGCAAUGGGCGAAAGCCUGACGCAGCCAUGCCGCGUGAAUGAUGAAGGUCUUAGGAUUGUAAAAUUCUUUCACCGGGGACGAUAAUGACGGUACCCGGAGAAGAAGCCCCGGCUAACUUCGUG